GAUAAACGCUGGCGGCGUGCCUAACACAUGCAAGUCGAACGCUCUUGCGCAAGCAAGAGAGUGGCGGACGGGUGAGGAACACGUGGGUAUCUGCCCUGGGGUGAGGAAUACCGGCGAGAAAUCGCCGACAAUACCGCAUACGCUUCGCAAGAAGCAAAGUCGCAAGACGCCACAGGAUGAGCCUGCGUCCGAUUAGCCAGUUGGUGGGGUAAUGGCCUACCAAAGCGACGAUCGGUAGCUGGUCUGAGAGGACGAUCAGCCACACUGGGAUUGAGAACGGCCCAGACUCCUACGGGAGGCUG
Molecule: ribosomal RNA, 302 nt
Filed under: uncultured Chloroflexota bacterium
Lineage: Bacteria; Bacillati; Chloroflexota
Description: bacterial SSU rRNA
Rfam family: Bacterial small subunit ribosomal RNA
Source: RNAcentral